RNAcentral lists this ribosomal RNA (490 nucleotides) under uncultured bacterium. RNAcentral describes it as "partial 16S ribosomal RNA". It matches the Rfam family "Bacterial small subunit ribosomal RNA", at positions 30 to 507 of the family's 1533-position model. The record is from RNAcentral.
AUUGAACGCUGGCAGCAGGCCUAACACAUGCAAGUCGAACGGUAACAGGAAACAGCUUGCUGUUUCGCUGACGAGUGGCGGACGGGUGAGUAAUGUCUGGGAAACUGCCUGAUGGAGGGGGAUAACUACUGGAAACGGUAGCUAAUACCGCAUAACGUCGCAAGACCAAAGAGGGGGACCUUCGGGCCUCUUGCCAUCGGAUGUGCCCAGAUGGGAUUAGCUAGUAGGUGGGGUAACGGCUCACCUAGGCGACGAUCCCUAGCUGGUCUGAGAGGAUGACCAGCCACACUGGAACUGAGACACGGUCCAGACUCCUACGGGAGGCAGCAGUGGGGAAUAUUGCACAAUGGGCGCAAGCCUGAUGCAGCCAUGCCGCGUGUAUGAAGAAGGCCUUCGGGUUGUAAAGUACUUUCAGCGGGGAGGAAGGGAGUAAAGUUAAUACCUUUACUCAUUGACGUUACCCGCAGAACAAGCACCGGCUAACUCCGUG